Echinops telfairi (small Madagascar hedgehog) is the source of this 363-nucleotide long non-coding RNA. RefSeq lists it as uncharacterized. The record is from RefSeq and is a predicted model, not a curated record. NCBI's taxonomy places the organism in Eukaryota, Metazoa, Chordata, Mammalia, Afrosoricida, Tenrecidae. The transcript has 3 exons.
GAACCUGAAACUUCUAAUGCUCGUCAAACUCACUUGGAUCACAAACCAGGCUUCAGCGUGAUUUCUUUCUUGUGUGGAGACAGGGACCGAGUGAGAACCUCCUGGGGUCCUCGAGGCUGGAACUCACGAAGUCGGAAGCUGCACAGACUGGUUCCCCAAGCCAGUGCACACAGCCUCCAGCAGUUUGCCCGUUUCUGUUGUGUUCUUCCCCGUGCCCGGCUUUGGCCAUCUGCUCCUGGUGCAGGCUUUACAUUACGUGGAGGUGAUACAUUACGCGUUUCCUUACCUUGGGACAGAAGAAAAGUUGAAACUCGAUCAAACUUCCUUGUUUAGCUCCCACAGUCAGGCUGUUUCCUGUGUAUA